AGGACGAACGCUGGCGGCGUGCUUAACACAUGCAAGUCGAGCGGAAAGGCCCUUCGGGGUACUCGAGCGGCGAACGGGUGAGUAACACGUGAGCAAUCUGCCCUUAGCUUCGGGAUAGCCCCGGGAAACCGGGAUUAAUACCGAAUAUGACCUCGGCCGACAUCGGCCUUGGUGGAAAGUUUUUCGGCUAGGGAUGAACUCGCGGCCUAUCAGCUUGUUGGUGGGGUAAUGGCCUACCAAGGCGACGACGGGUAGCCGGCCUGAGAGGGCGACCGGCCACACUGGGACUGAGACACGGCCCAGACUCCUACGGGAGGCAGCAGUGGGAAUAUUGCGCAAUGGGCGAAAGCCUGACGCAGCGACGCCGCGUGGGGAUGAAGGCCUUCGGGUUGUAAACCCCGUUUCAGCAGGGACGAAGCGAAAGUGACGGUACCUGCAGAAGAAGCGCCGGCUAACUACGCGCCAGCAGCCGC
Molecule: ribosomal RNA, 473 nt
Filed under: uncultured bacterium
Lineage: Bacteria
Description: SSU rRNA
Rfam family: Bacterial small subunit ribosomal RNA
Source: RNAcentral